RNAcentral lists this unclassified non-coding RNA (1430 nucleotides) under Monomorium pharaonis (pharaoh ant). RNAcentral describes it as "uncharacterized LOC118644582, transcript variant X1". Lineage: Eukaryota; Metazoa; Arthropoda; Insecta; Hymenoptera; Formicidae. The record is from RNAcentral.
AAUUCUAUUCUAUAUACGUUUUUACAUAUAUAUAUGUACAUAUAUACAAAGAUUACAAUUCGCGAUAAGGCGAUAAGAGUCACAAUUCGUUUGGUUUUUUUUAUUUUCGUUUUGAUCGACUUCGGUGUGUCCUAUAUAAUUUAUUUACUUUAUUCCAUGUAUGUGCAAUAUAUGGAAUACAUAUAUACAUUCCAUGUAUUGUGAUUAACAAUGUGGAACUGUAACAUCGUAUCUUAUUCAGUGACUUAAUCUGAUUAUUAUAAAAUUAUCUAUAGCCGCAUUAUUUUAUAUCAUUUUAUAUCUUUUUAGAGCUAAAAUUACGUUUUUAAAAUAUAGUUCUAGAUUAAAAAUGAUUUAUAAGAUGCAUAUUAGAUUGAAAAUAUUUCUUAAUAAGAAGGAAUGCAUUUAAUCAGAUUAUGAUUCUAUUUUUAACCUUUGCAAAAUUGUUUUCUAGUCAUUGCAAUACAUUCGUAACGAUAAAAUGCAAAUGAUUUACGAUAUGAAAAAUCGAUUCUAUAGAAUAUGCGCCGUUAUUUCAUAUCUCUCGUUAUACACAACGAGUAAUGUCAAGAAGUUGCGGAUAACUGUUAAGUUUAUUGCCGAUGUCAUCGUGGGAGGAAUAAGGUCGUAUCACGUUUUCCAUACAUGACGUCAGAUUAGAAGCGCCUACGGAACUCGGAGAUUAACCGGUGACGAUGUCAUGGACAAACGCAAAGGCGGACACGCGGGAAGAAUUUCGAGAAUCGAUCAAGUGAGCGAGGACAGACGCCGCGAGGGAUCUACAGCGAGAAUGCGCGUGAUGCCAAGCAAAGAGAAGCGCGGACGAUGCAGAAAGGAAAAUAUUGGAAACUCCAUUAGCGGCGGUGCAACCAGCCGUAUACCGGAAUACAUAAGCAGCUCCCAUAGAGAGGGAGACGGAUGAAGAGAGCACGGCGGCGGGGAAGCAGUUGAACGGCUAUGGGGAUUAUUACGCGAUUCAUUUGUAACAUUCCCUCCCCAGCAGUUCCCGCUGCUAUCUCUCCCUUUCUUCGGAGGUCUCUCUCCCUACGAUCUUUUCUCAGUUUCGUUUCGAUUCGAAAGCUGAAUCUGCCAAAUUUCCUUUGUCCCGCGGAUUUUGUCUAUCUCACUUUUUCUCUCUUUUCAUACUGAUUUUUAAUAUUUUUUGUUAAGCUCUUCUUGUACACACAUACACACACACACACACACACACAAAAUUUAAAUAUUAAUUUACAACUGAGUUUUGCUAGACAUUUUGUUCAAAUAUAUAUAUAUUCUUUUACUUUAUUUAACUUUGCCUUGUAUUUGUCAAGCAAAUCUAUUUUUCAAGUUCUUUCUUUGUUGAUAAAAAUGUUUAAAAAAUCUUCUCUCAAAUUAAAAAGAUUCUCCAAUUUUUUCAUAUAAUAUAAGAACACUUGAUCAAAUAUUAAGAA